RNAcentral lists this ribosomal RNA (419 nucleotides) under bacterium. RNAcentral's name for it is "partial 16S ribosomal RNA". It matches the Rfam family "Bacterial small subunit ribosomal RNA", at positions 355 to 776 of the family's 1533-position model. The record is from RNAcentral.
UGGGGGAUAUUGCGCAAUGGGCGCAAGCCUGAUGCAGCGACGCCGCGUGGGGGAUGAAGGCCUUCGGGUUGUAAACUUCUUUUGCUCUGAACAAGGCGCACUUUGGGGUGUGUUGAGUGUAGGGGUUGAUUAGCGCCGGCUAACUACGUGCCAGCAGCCGCGGUAAUACGUAGGGCGCGAGCGUUGUCCGGAAUUAUUGGGCGUAAAGGGCUUGUAGGUGGCUGGUUGCGUCUGUCGUGAAAGCUCAUGGCUUAACUGUGGGUUUGCGGUGGGUACGGGCUGGCUUGAGUGCAGUAGGGGAGGCUGGAAUUCCUGGUGUAGCGGUGGAAUGCGCAGAUAUCAGGAGGAAUACCGGUGGCGAAGGCGGGUCUCUGGGCUGUUACUGACACUGAGGAGCGAAAGCAUGGGGAGCGAACAGG